UGAGUAAUGUCUGGGAAACUGCCUGAUGGAGGGGGAUAACUACUGGAAACGGUAGCUAAUACCGCAUAACGUCGCAAGACCAAAGAGGGGGACCUUCGGGCCUCUUGCCAUCGGAUGUGCCCAGAUGGGAUUAGCUAGUAGGUGGGGUAACGGCUCACCUAGGCGACGAUCCCUAGCUGGUCUGAGAGGAUGACCAGCCACACUGGAACUGAGACACGGUCCAG
RNAcentral lists this ribosomal RNA (224 nucleotides) under uncultured bacterium. Its description in RNAcentral is "partial 16S ribosomal RNA". It matches the Rfam family "Bacterial small subunit ribosomal RNA", at positions 107 to 334 of the family's 1533-position model. The record is from RNAcentral.